GUGCCCACUUCGGCAGUACAUAUACUAAAAUUUGAAUGAUGCAAAGAUUAUCAUGGCCCCUGCACAAGAAUGACAUGUAAAUUCAUGAAGUGUUCCAUAGUUUU
This is a small nuclear RNA of Peromyscus californicus insignis, 104 nucleotides long. NCBI's taxonomy places the organism in Eukaryota, Metazoa, Chordata, Mammalia, Rodentia, Cricetidae. The record is from RefSeq and is a predicted model, not a curated record.